CCUACGGGAGGCAGCAGUGGGGGAUAUUGCACAAUGGGGGGAACCCUGAUGCAGCGACGCCGCGUGGGUGAAGAAGCGCCUCGGCGCGUAAAGCCCUGUCAGCAGGGAAGAAAAUGACGGUACCUGACUAAGAAGCCCCGGCUAACUACGUGCCAGCAGCCGCGGUAAUACGUAGGGGGCAAGCGUUACCCGGAAUCACUGGGGGUAAGGGGAGCGGAGACGGCUGAGCAAGCCUGAAGUGAAAGGCGGGGGCACAACCCCCGGACUGCUUUGGGAACUGUACGGCUGGAGUGCAGGAGAGGUAAGGGGAAUUCCUAGUGUAGCGGUGAAAUGCGUAGAUAUUAGGAGGAACACCAGUGGCGAAGGCGGCUUACUGGACUGUAACUGACGUUGAGGCUCGAAAGCGUGGGGAGCAAACAGGAUUAGAUACCCGUGUAGUC
RNAcentral lists this ribosomal RNA (440 nucleotides) under uncultured bacterium. RNAcentral's name for it is "partial 16S ribosomal RNA". It matches the Rfam family "Bacterial small subunit ribosomal RNA", at positions 338 to 795 of the family's 1533-position model. The record is from RNAcentral.